AUGUUUUUAGCCUUAAACUGCAACCUAGCAAAUUAUCUUUUAUCUUGCUGGAGGACUACACAAGAUAAUAACAUGUUAAAUGUUAUAUUUAUGUACAUGAGUCAUAAGUGAUGUUUUCUAAUUUCCUCUGCCGGCUUUUUUUGUAAAACAGCUAUGACUAUUAUCACAUUCUACAAUAGCCUCAGGUUGGCAAAAGCUUAUGCUUUUCUGCAUUGGUUUGAAUACAGCAGCGUCAUUACAUCCUCAUACUCAUAGUUAUAAGGCUAACCUCUACUGCUGUCUCAAGGCAACAGUGUCUCCUUGUUGUGGUGAAGUAAUUUAAUGUUUAUUCCGGGGUUGACUUGGAGCAGCAAUUUUCAAAGUCUGUCAUUAUAAAAAGCUGAGAGAAAAUGCAGAUUUUCUGUCCAUAACCAUCAAGCAUGUGGCGGGCAUCCAAGCAUAAAACGGCUCCCCUCUCUCUCUCCCCCUCGCUUGCCCUUACACCCAUCACGCUCCUUCCCUCCCACUCUUGUGUCAGUCGUGUUGUUGGGCUUUGCUGAGAGGACGUAGCAGCCACCGUUCAUUUAGAAGAGCCAGGGGAGAGCAGAGGAGAGGAGAGGACACCAGAUCUGGCCAGGCCCAGCCCAGCCCAAGUGCAACACACCUAUUGCCAAGUUUAGCUUAGCGUUGACUGGUGUGUCACAUACAAUAGCUUUAGCCAAGGGUCCUCUGGGUCAUGUGGCUCCUGGACUGGAUCUUCUCAAUCAACACAGCUGUGGUGAAGCUAGCCAGCGGUCUCACAUGCAAGUUAACUGCUGCCCCUGUUUGUCAUCCAUCAAUUUGCAGAAAUAUGUAAUUUUUUUAUUUUUUUUUUAUUUUUUUAUGUGUUGGUUGUAUAGGCCUGUGAAGAUAUUUGGUUUCCGGUUUCUGUGAAGGGGCUUUGUUUUCUGUGAACUUGGAAAGCCUGCAGUGGUUGAACCGGUGUUGUAGUACAAAGAUGUAGUGUCCUCUUUCUGUUGUUACUGGAGCAUCACACUCUUUCUGCUUGGAGGCCCAGUUAAUACAUUAAACCGUGCUGCAAACAUGA
Long non-coding RNA from Acanthopagrus latus (yellowfin seabream), 1066 nucleotides. RefSeq lists it as uncharacterized. NCBI's taxonomy places the organism in Eukaryota, Metazoa, Chordata, Actinopteri, Spariformes, Sparidae. The record is from RefSeq and is a predicted model, not a curated record. The transcript is spliced from 2 exons.